Vicia faba (fava bean) is the source of this 228-nucleotide non-coding RNA. The record is from the annotation of a GenBank genome assembly. Lineage: Eukaryota; Viridiplantae; Streptophyta; Magnoliopsida; Fabales; Fabaceae.
AUGAAAACAAAAAAAAAAUGUUGUAGAGAAUCAAUCACCACCGUUGAAGGCAUCAGCAUCAAUAGCAUGAAUGAUCAAUACUAUACUCUAAUUACUUCCAUACAAAAUGCAUACAUCAAAAGCAGUUCAGUAAAGGAAGUGGGACAUGCAUUUCCUUUCUUUUCUCUUUAUAUCAUAAUUAUUAUUAUUGUACUAUUUUCACUUCUCAUUUUCUCUGUAGUAAUUUGA